RNAcentral lists this small RNA (30 nucleotides) under Bombyx mori (domestic silkworm). RNAcentral's name for it is "ovarian small RNA-15427". The record is from RNAcentral. Lineage: Eukaryota; Metazoa; Arthropoda; Insecta; Lepidoptera; Bombycidae.
GACCAAGAUCUGGACGGCGCCGGUGCACAU